AGAUUUUAUUCUCUACUUGACUCUUUUAAUGGAUUGCUUAUUCCGCUGCAGUUAAACUUGUUGUCUAUUGUAUUUUAUCAGUUUAACAUUGUUGAAGGCUAAUGAUAAUUUAUCCUGCAUUAUCUUAGUCAUAAUAUUUCUUACUGGGCUAGUUGAGCUCACCCUUUCUUUCACUGUUCUCUUCUGGAAAUGAGAACGUAGCAGGGACUAGUCGGGGGACGGAGUGAUGGUCCAGAUGAUAGUAUUAGUAGUCCUUACUAUUCUGUUAAAUAGUGUGACAAUAAAUGUAAUGAAGACUGAAUUUGAGUUUGUAUACUGUCUAUGAGGACUCCAUUGAGAAUGGAUAUUGUCUAGAAGACAAUAUUCUUGUUUAAACUCUUAGUUUAUAUUUUAUCGUAUUUUACACGACAGUUGUAUAAUUAUGUUGUAUUUGAUUUAUGUACCAUGUAUUUGGCGACUCAAGAUGGGUGAUUUAUACCUAUUUUGGGGGCGUCACAGUUUCUCUAUUCAAAAAUAGUAGUAAUGGGUGUACAUGAAUUUUUUUGUACAUUAUUUUUUUCCCAGUGUAAUGGGAACUUCAUUUACUCAUUUUUCUUAAGUUUUUUUAGUGUUGUGAAUUGAUAAGUUAACAUAUAGAAGAUGUUGUGAUUUUUCA
Molecule: long non-coding RNA, 655 nt
Filed under: Panax ginseng (ginseng)
Lineage: Eukaryota; Viridiplantae; Streptophyta; Magnoliopsida; Apiales; Araliaceae
Description: long non-coding RNA (PGIN_LNC013537)
Source: RNAcentral